RNAcentral lists this ribosomal RNA (466 nucleotides) under uncultured bacterium. Its description in RNAcentral is "partial 16S ribosomal RNA". It matches the Rfam family "Bacterial small subunit ribosomal RNA", at positions 28 to 507 of the family's 1533-position model. The record is from RNAcentral.
GAUGAACGCUGGCGGCGUGCUUAACACAUGCAAGUCGAACGAUGAAGCCCAGCUUGCUGGGUGGAUUAGUGGCGAACGGGUGAGUAACACGUGAGUAACCUGCCCUUAACUCUGGGAUAAGCCUGGGAAACUGGGUCUAAUACCGGAUAGGAGCGUCCACCGCAUGGUGGGUGUUGGAAAGAUUUAUCGGUUUUGGAUGGACUCGCGGCCUAUCAGCUUGUUGGUGAGGUAAUGGCUCACCAAGGCGACGACGAGUAGCCGGCCUGAGAGGGUGACCGGCCACACUGGGACUGAGACACGGCCCAGACUCCUACGGGAGGCAGCAGUGGGGAAUAUUGCACAAUGGGCGCAAGCCUGAUGCAGCGACGCCGCGUGAGGGAUGACGGCCUUCGGGUUGUAAACCUCUUUCAGUAGGGAAGAAGCGAAAGUGACGGUACCUGCAGAAGAAGCACCGGCUAACUACGUG